Molecule: ribosomal RNA, 400 nt
Filed under: phytoplankton environmental sample
Lineage: Eukaryota
Description: partial small subunit ribosomal RNA
Rfam family: Eukaryotic small subunit ribosomal RNA
Source: RNAcentral
AGCUCUAAUAGCGUAUAUUAAAGUUGUUGCGGUUAAAAAGCUCGUAGUUGGAUUUUGGGGCUUGGCCAUCGGUCCGGUGCAAGCCGCGCACUGAUGGCUGGGCUCUUCUGUCUGGGUGCCACCUUGGGGUGCUUCACUGUGCCACUUGGGGUCUCAGACCUUCACUUUGAACAAAUUAGAGUGUUUAAAGCAGGCUUACGCCUUGAAUACAUUAGCAUGGAAUGAACAUAUAGGACUUGGGUUCUAUUUUGUUGGUUUUAAGGACCAAAGUAAUGAUUAAUAGGGAUAGUUGGGGGCAUUAAUAUUUAAUUGUCAGAGGUGAAAUUCUUAGAUUUAUGAAAGAUUAACUUCUGCGAAAGCAUUUGCCAAGGAUGUUUUCAUUAAUCAAGAACGAAAGUAC